Arachis ipaensis is the source of this 847-nucleotide non-coding RNA. Lineage: Eukaryota; Viridiplantae; Streptophyta; Magnoliopsida; Fabales; Fabaceae. The record is from RefSeq and is a predicted model, not a curated record.
AAACAUACUUUAAUAAUAAUUCCAACUUUGUAUUUGGGAAAUAGGAAAAUAUUAUAUCUUCGUAGAAAUUCUUAAAAAAAAAUGAAUCUUGAAGCUUUUACUUUAAAGAUUUCUAUGGAAACAAAUUUCCCUUUCAUUUCUUUCAGAAUACCUUGCUUUCUAUUUUUCAAACUUUUAUAUUUCUCAUUAUGUAUAAAUAUUAUGAUUAUGCAUAGAGGCACAUAUGUAAUCAAGAGCACAUACAAAGUUUCGAAGAGCCUAUUGAUAACCACAAUCAGUUAGCUGGGAUGCGAUUAGAAUUUAGAAGCCAUGCUUCAAAGAAACUUGCAACUACUUAUUGGACCAAGCUCUUGAAGGCUAUUGCUUGUCCCGUUACACUGAAAGCCUAUCGCAGAACAAAAAUCUUCAAAAUUGGGAGGAGAAACUAUGGUGAGAACGGACAAGUUGGCAGAGAUGAAAGUUGAAAGCUCACCGCUGGAGAAUAAAUGUUGACAGUAGACUACCCAUUCGGCUUGCCAAUAAUAUGUGACACGAGACCAUAUUAGCCAUAGUCUGGCCACAAAUGGGAAACUAAUAUACUAUCUAAUCAAAUAUGAAAGAUCCUUGUUAAGUCUCCCUUUUGUGAAGACCGAGUUUUAAAUAAGAUAAUCAAGAUUACACUCGAAUCUAAGGUAAGAUUACACGUUAAACAAAAGUUUGAACCUCCUCAGCAAAAUUUAUUAGCCACAAAAAAAUAUAUCCCUCUGGCCUCUCUUAAGUUGAAUAAAUGACUAAUUCUAUAUCAUUAUAAUGAUAACCAAAUAUAAAUAAAUCUCGGCACAUUUACGGCAUCAAUUUGAGCCGAAUU